GGGCACGCGUCCUCUCCCCACCUCCGAAACCUCAGUGUUCUCCUGUGAGGCGGGGAUGGGGUUACCUCGAAAGGCCGUGUGGAGGAGGAAGAGGAUGAAGGGGCUGCGGCCUUCUCCUUGGUCCCCCAUCACAUUCCAGAACCUUAGCAAUCCAGAGGCAUGAGGAGCAAUUAAGGUCAGGGUCUCGGGUGGCUAGAGCCCAUCCUGGUGGAAGCCCGCCCGCCCCCCUGGACAGGACGCGGUUCAUGGUGGGGCACUCUCACCGACACCAGCCCACAUUCAGACGGGGACAGCGCAGACACGCUGAUGAACCUGUCCGUCUUUGGAAUGUGGGAGGAAAACAGAAUCCCCGGAGAAAACCCACAGCCAUGGAGACAACAUGCAAACCACACACCGGCUGUGGCCUUGGCCAGGAAUCAAUUUUUUAUUUUCUCAUCAAUGUUAUAAUGAAACAACAUUAUUUGAGGACCUGCUGUAUGUGUGUGCAUGUCUACUGUGUAUGUCUGUACGUACACAUUAUAUACAUACACACACACAAAUAUGGUAUCAACUGUUGUUUCAGUCAAUGGGCUGACUCUUUUUAAAAGAUUUUAUUUAUUUGUUUGUUUGUUUGUUUGUUUGUUUGUCUGUUUCUAGA
Long non-coding RNA from Phyllostomus hastatus (greater spear-nosed bat), 637 nucleotides. RefSeq lists it as uncharacterized. The transcript has 3 exons. The record is from RefSeq and is a predicted model, not a curated record. NCBI's taxonomy places the organism in Eukaryota, Metazoa, Chordata, Mammalia, Chiroptera, Phyllostomidae.